This is a non-coding RNA of Myotis brandtii (Brandt's bat), 74 nucleotides long. Lineage: Eukaryota; Metazoa; Chordata; Mammalia; Chiroptera; Vespertilionidae. The record is from Rfam.
GGCAGUUCUCAGGUGACACACCCCAGAAUCAGGCUCCCUCUCUCUGGUUCCGGGUGUGUAACCCAAGAACUGCA